CUGGGCAUCAGCAGAUGGCAAGAAAAGCUGCAAGAAAUGCAGACAUUGUUUUUCUCUUUCAUUCAUUCAAAAGCUGAUUAAAUUAUCUGAGCUUCUGUUUCCUUGUUAUAAAAUAGGGCGAAAAUUGUUACGUGCCGUAAAACUACUGCAUCUGGAGAUGGAGAUACAUUCCCUUAUGUGACACACCCAGCAGGGCCAGGCAUCUAGUAGGAGCCCAUGUGUCCACAGCUCACUCAGCUCACCCAAUAAACCCUGAGGGUCUGCUUCACUUUUUCCUUCCCGCACAAGCGUCACACUGACAGUCUGGCCUUUCCAAACCACCACUGGCAACUUCAACUGAACUGAUCAUAUGUCAACUAAUUCUAGGAGGCCAGUCCUGAUCCCAAGAAACGAUGACAUUGUCCACAUUGGAAAUCACAAACCUCGUCUGCCAAGUUGGACUCAUCCCACAGUUAUACCAGAUGUCCCAGCUACUGCAACAAGACAAGAAAAGGAAAACACAGAUGUGAAUCUCUAGGGGCUAACAGAGGAUCAACGUGUGAACUAAAGCUGCCUUUACAAUCACCCCAAAGAGAAAACUAGGUAGCCAACUGCAUCUGAAAAACCAGCAAGUCUUCCCUAUUUGGGGAAGAGCAAAACAGAGCCAAACCUACUAUGGCCAAUGCCUGCGCCAUGUGCAGGAGGAUACCAAAGAGUGUCAAACAUGGUACCUGCCUUCAGGGGACUACCAGCAUCCCUCUGUCCCUGGCCUUCAAAUACCUGCCGUCCACCAGCGGGCUAAAUAGGUCAGUCAGUCCAAGAUGUAUUAAUGAGUCUUGAUGUCUCUUUCAUAAUUUAGGAUCUGGUCUUGCCUUGAAGCUGCCAGGUUCUAGAAACUUUGCUAUUUCUUCUUUUAUUCACUUGGAUCAUCAAAGGGAUAGAACACAUAAUCAUUUUUCUAUUGUUUGAACAGAACCCAUUACUGUUGCCGAGAAGUGGUAAUUGAGUUUAUCAAAUAUAAUUACUCCUCUCAACCCACCCCCUCUCCAGUCUGCCUUUCUCAAUCAGGAAGAACUAACACCACCUUUCACGAAGGAUACUUGCAUAUUUGAAUGGCUUCCCAGGACUCUUUAAGUGGCAUACAAUUACACUUAAUUUAAUUUUUUUGUCAUUAGUCCCAGAGGCUUUGAUUCAAAACCUGUGUUAUUCUGAUAUAAGGAAAAUAAAGCUCCACCUCAAAUUAAAUAUUUGCCUUUGCAUAUGGUUUGCUGUUCAUUGUACAACUGCUCUUUUGCUCGAGUCUUUCGUUCCCAGCAGCCACUUCUGGGCUUGGCAUCUUUUCCAGUUCCUUGUGUUGCCCCAUCAGUUGUCAGGUCACCAGGAGCCUGAGCACACUCAGGUUUCAGGGACACUUCCAGACUCCAAGGUCCCAGAAGGUGACACAUUUGGGAAUCUAACAUCUCUUGUAUUUUCC
Molecule: long non-coding RNA, 1453 nt
Filed under: Equus caballus (horse)
Lineage: Eukaryota; Metazoa; Chordata; Mammalia; Perissodactyla; Equidae
Description: lncRNA (ENSECAG00000060020.1)
Source: RNAcentral